Molecule: long non-coding RNA, 1253 nt
Filed under: Mytilus galloprovincialis (Mediterranean mussel)
Lineage: Eukaryota; Metazoa; Mollusca; Bivalvia; Mytilida; Mytilidae
Source: RNAcentral
GUUAAUUUCUAAUUGAAUGUUAUUUAAUAGCAGAUAUCUUAUAAUACUGUAAUGAAAUAUAUCCAGUAAAAUCUUAUGGUAAUCUGUAAUCAAGAUGUAGUCAUUUCUAGCUCAAUUUAUUUAAACUGCUCAAUAGAAUGAUAAGUAAAUCACCCAUCACAUGAUUUUAUUUACAGAAUUUGUCUCAAACAACCCAAUAAAAUUGGUAAGGCCAGCACUAAAACAUUUUUUGUUUCUUCUUUUACAAGCACUUUCUAUAGGUAGUUUGAUACUGGCAUCAACUUAAAUUGUGAAAGAAUCAGUCAACACUAUCAAUAUUAAUCUUAGGUUUGUUCAAACUACUUAUUUCAGAAUUAAUAGGAUGAAAACAAAAUCUGUUGAAAAUUACUUUAAAGGUGAUCUACAAAGGAGAAGUACCUAUUUACUUUUGGUCUUUUUUUAUAUUUUGGAAAAUUGGAAAAUGAGCUUAAUUUGUGUUUCUCAAUUGUUAUUUUUGAUUUUAUUUUUUUUUGGAGGGGAGCAGAACUUAAGGUAAUGAUGACUUUUCUGAUGUUUUUUUUGUGUUUACAAUUUAUGAUGAAAUAAUUAUUUGAUAUUUCAUACUUGUGUAUAUUUUGAAGAACUCUUGUUAUUUUAUUACAUGUAUGCAGGGUCUCAAUGUUUUGUCUAACAUUUAACCAUAUUUUGUUUUUGAGUUUAAACUAAAAUAUUAAUAUAACUUAUUGUAGAAUGCAUCAGAGAAUUUGAUUAAUAGUGAACAACUAUGUAAUGGUUUGAAGAUUUUAAUACAUAAUCAAUCAGUAUAAAAAAAAUCAAAACAUAGAAAAUUUAUAGAAAAAGAAAUGUUGGUUGUUUUUUUGGUUGAAGUUCAUGUAGUCAAGUUACAUAUUACAAGGAUUGAUUUGAUGAACCCCUUAUCAUUAUACUUGCUGCAGCUGAUAAAAUUAUACAAAGUAAAUCAUAUAAUGUAUCUUUAUCGUUCCCAGGUUUGAAUAUAUUUUCUGCAUAACAAAAAUAUUUUUUCUCCUAGGUUAUAUCCAUAUUUUGUAAAACAUAUGGUUUGACAAAAACAAAUUCUACUGAAUCAAUGCUUAUACACUGAAAGUUAGUUUGUAUGAUGAUUUAAGUUCUCUUUUUAGUUUAAUCAUGUACAUUCCUAUUUCAUAUGUGAUUCCUUAGGUGUCCUAAUAGGUUCAGUUAUAACAUAAAAAGACUUACUACUCACUAGUAUAAAGUAUAUACAAUCUAUGUUA